AGUACUCGAGUGGCGAACGGGUGAGUAACACGUGGGUAAUCUGCCCUGCACUCUGGGAUAAGCCUGGGAAACUGGGUCUAAUACUGGAUAUGACCUUUCUCCUUAUGGGGUUUGGUGGAAAGUUUUUCGGUGUAGGAUGAGCCCGCGGCCUAUCAGCUUGUCGGUGGGGUGAUGGCCUACCAAGGCGACGACGGGUAGCCGGCCUGAGAGGGUGAUCGGCCACAUUGGGACUGAGAUACGGCCCAG
This 246-nucleotide ribosomal RNA is filed under the name uncultured Actinomycetales bacterium. RNAcentral describes it as "partial 16S ribosomal RNA". It matches the Rfam family "Bacterial small subunit ribosomal RNA", at positions 86 to 334 of the family's 1533-position model. Lineage: Bacteria; Bacillati; Actinomycetota; Actinomycetes; Actinomycetales. The record is from RNAcentral.